AGUGGGGUAGCUGGGUCAAAUGAUUAAGAUUGCCUCAUUUUAUGAGAAAUUGCCAAACUUUUCCAAAAUGACUGUACCAUUUUGCCUUUCCCACUAGCAGU
Molecule: microRNA precursor, 101 nt
Filed under: Marmota monax (woodchuck)
Lineage: Eukaryota; Metazoa; Chordata; Mammalia; Rodentia; Sciuridae
Source: RNAcentral